RNAcentral lists this ribosomal RNA (160 nucleotides) under uncultured bacterium. Its description in RNAcentral is "partial 16S rRNA". It matches the Rfam family "Bacterial small subunit ribosomal RNA", at positions 355 to 507 of the family's 1533-position model. The record is from RNAcentral.
UAGGGAAUCUUCCGCAAUGGACGAAAGUCUGACGGAGCAACGCCGCGUGAGUGAUGAAGGUCUUCGGAUCGUAAAACUCUGUUGUCAGGGAAGAACAAGUAUGGUAGUAACUGACCGUACCUUGACGGUACCUGACCAGAAAGCCCCGGCUAACUACGUG